RNAcentral lists this ribosomal RNA (482 nucleotides) under uncultured bacterium. Its description in RNAcentral is "partial 16S ribosomal RNA". It matches the Rfam family "Bacterial small subunit ribosomal RNA", at positions 28 to 507 of the family's 1533-position model. The record is from RNAcentral.
GAUGAACGCUAGCGGCAGGCCUAAUACAUGCAAGUCGGACGGGAUUCAGGAGCUUGCUUCUGAUGAGAGUGGCGCACGGGUGCGUAACACGUAUGUAACCUACCUUUAUCAGGGGGAUAGCCUCUCGAAAGAGAGAUUAAGCCCGCAUAAAAUCACAGCACAGCCUUGUGUAAUGAUCAAAUAUUUAUAGGAUAAAGAUGGGCAUGCGGAACAUUAGCUAGAUGGCGGGGUAACGGCCCACCAUGGCGACGAUGUUUAGGGGAUCUGAGAGGAUGGCCCCCCACACGGGGACUGGGACACGGACCAGACUCCUACGGGAGGGAGCAGUAAGGAAUAUAGGUGAAUGGGAGGAAGCCUGAACCAGCCAUGCCGCGUGCAGGAAGACGGCCCUACGGGUUGUAAACUGCUUUUAGACGGGAAUAAACCCAGAUACGUGUAUCUGGCUGAAUGUACUGUAAGAAUAAGGAUCGGCUAACUCCGUG